Molecule: ribosomal RNA, 525 nt
Filed under: uncultured bacterium
Lineage: Bacteria
Description: partial 16S ribosomal RNA
Rfam family: Bacterial small subunit ribosomal RNA
Source: RNAcentral
UGGGGAAUAUUGCACAAUGGGCGGAAGCCUGAUGCAGCAACGCCGCGUGAGUGAUGAAGGCCUUCGGGUUGUAAAGCUCUGUCUUUUGGGACGAUAAUGACGGUACCAAAGGAGGAAGCCACGGCUAACUACGUGCCAGCAGCCGCGGUAAUACGUAGGUGGCAAGCGUUGUCCGGAUUUACUGGGCGUAAAGGAUGCGUAGGCGGAUUUUUAAGUGAGAUGUGAAAUACCCGGGCUUAACUUGGGUGCUGCAUUUCAAACUGGGAAUUCUAGAGUGCGGGAGAGGAGAAUGGAAUUCCUAGUGUAGCGGUGAAAUGCGUAGAGAUUAGGAAGAACACCAGUGGCGAAGGCGAUUCUCUGGACCGUAACUGACGCUGAGGCAUGAAAGCGUGGGUAGCAAACAGGAUUAGAUACCCUGGUAGUCCACGCCGUAAACGAUGAGUACUAGGUGUAGGAGGUAUCGACCCCUUCUGUGCCGCAGUUAACACAAUAAGUACUCCGCCUGGGAAGUACGAUCGCAAGAUU